AAAUACUACCCAGUGACCGAUAGCGUAUAGUACUGUGAAGGAAAGGUGAAAAGAACCCCGGGAGGGGAGUGAAAAGAACCUGAAACCUUGUGCUUACAAGCACACAAAGCACGUCAACGUGUGAUGUGGUACCUUUUGUAGAAUGGUCCGGCGAGUGAAUGUAACUGGCGAGGUUAAGUUCUUAAGGAACGGAGCCGAAGCGAAAGCAAGUCUGAAUAGGGCGUUUUAGUCAGUUGUAUUCGACCCGAAACCGGGUGACCUAUCCAUGUCCAGGAUGAAGUUAAGGUAAAACUUGAUGGAGGUCCGAACCCACGGUCGUUGAAAUGCCCGGGGAUGAGAUGUGGAUAGCGGAGAAAUUCCAAUCGAACCCGGAUAUAGCUGGUUCUCUCCGAAAUAGCUUUAGGGCUAGCCUCGACUGAACAUUACCGGAGGUAGAGCACUGAAUGGGCUAGGGGCCGAGAGGUUACUGAACCCUAUCAAACUUCAAAUGCCGGAAAAUGAUAGUCGGGAGUCAGACUGCGUGAGAUAAGUUUCGUAGUCGAAAGGGAAACAGCCCAGACCCACAGCUAAGGUCCCAAAGUACGGUUAAGUGGAAAAGGAUGUGGAGUUGCACAGACAACCAGGAUGUUGGCUUAGAAGCAGCCACUCAUUAAAAGAGUGCGUAAUAGCUCACUGGUCGAGUGACUCUGCGCGGAAAAUAUAACGGGGCUAAGCAUGAAACCGAAGCUUGGGCUUGUCGUAAGACAGGGGUAGGGGAGCGUCGAGUAUGGGGUGAAGUCAGAGCGGAAGCACUGGUGGACUGUAUUCGAGUGAGAAUGCCGGAAUGAGUAGCGAGAAUUAUGUGGGAAUCAUAAUGGCCGAAAAUCUAAGGUUUCUUGGGGAAGGUUCGUCCGCCCAAGGUAAGCCGGGAGCUAAGGCGAGGCCGCAAGGCGUAGUCGAUGCACAUACGGUAAAGAUUCCGUAGCCGCCGAACUUUAAGUCAGAGGGACACUUGCAGAUAGCGGAACCCAGCCGUUGGUUGAGCUGGGCGAAAGGGACUGAAAUUAGUAGGGAAGUCCGCGAUGCUGAAAGGCGAGAAAAGCUCUGAUGGAUACUAAGGCGCCCGUACCGCAAACCGACACAGGUAGAUGAGGAGAGAAUCCUAAGGCCAACGGGAGAAGGGUUGUUAAGGAACUCGGCAAAUUGACCCCGUAACUUCGGGAGAAGGGGUGCUCCAGAGAUGGAGCCGCAGAGAAUCGGCCCAAGCAACUGUUUACCAAAAACACAGGUUUGUGCUAAAUCGAAAGAUGACGUAUACGAGCUGACGCCUGCCCGGUGCUGGAAGGUUAAGAGGAGAUGUGCAAGCAUUGAAUCGAAGCCCCAGUGAACGGCGGCCGUAACUAUAACGGUCCUAAGGUAGCGAAAUUCCUUGUCAGGUAAGUUCUGACCCGCACGAAUGGCGUAAUGAUUUGGGCACUGUCUCAACAGCCCGCCCGGCGAAAUUGUAGUACUGGUGAAGAUGCCAGUUACCCGCAACUAGACGGAAAGACCCCAUGGAGCUUUACUGCAGUUUAAUACUGGGAAUCGGUAAUUCAUGUACAGGAUAGGUGGGAGACUGAGAAGCAUGGCCGUCAGGUCGUGUGGAGUCACCGGUGGGAUACCACUCUUGGAUUGCUGGUUUCCUAACCUGCGGCCCUGAAUCGGGUCGGGGGACACUGUUAGACGGGCAGUUUGACUGGGGCGGUCGCCUCCAAAAGAGUAACGGAGGCGCUCAAAGGUUCGUUCAGCACGGAUGGAAAUCGUGCACUGAGUGUAAACGCAUAAACGAGCCUAACUGCGAGAAUGACGGUUCGAGCAGUAACGAAAGUUGGAGUUAGUGAUCCGGCGGUAUGUGAAUGGAAAUGCCGUCGCUCAACGGAUAAAAGCUACCCUGGGGAUAACAGGCUGAUCUCCCCCAAGAGUCCACAUCGACGGGGAGGUUUGGCACCUCGAUGUCGGCUCAUCGCAUCCUGGGGCUGAAUUCGGUCCCAAGGGUUUGGCUGUUCGCCAAUUAAAGCGGCACGCGAGCUGGGUUCAGAACGUCGUGAGACAGUUCGGUCCCUAUCUGUUGCGGGCGCAGGAAUAUUGAGAGGAGCUGUCCUUAGUACGAGAGGACCGGGAUGGACGUACCGCUGGUGCACCAGUUGUUCUGCCAAGGGCAUAGCUGGGUAGCUAAGUACGGACGAGAUAAACGCUGAAGGCAUCUAAGCGUGAAACUCCCCUCGAGAUAAGUGUUCCCAUCCUUCGGGAGUAAGGCCCCUUGU
Molecule: ribosomal RNA, 2282 nt
Filed under: human gut metagenome
Description: bacterial LSU rRNA
Rfam family: Bacterial large subunit ribosomal RNA
Source: RNAcentral